Molecule: ribosomal RNA, 253 nt
Filed under: uncultured bacterium
Lineage: Bacteria
Description: partial 16S ribosomal RNA
Rfam family: Bacterial small subunit ribosomal RNA
Source: RNAcentral
UACGGAGGGUGCAAGCGUUAUCCGGAUUCACUGGGUUUAAAGGGUGCGUAGGCGGGUUGGUAAGUCCGUGGUGAAAUCUCCAAGCUUAACUUGGAAACUGCCGUGGAUACUAUCAAUCUUGAAUAUAGUGGAGGUGAGCGGAAUAUGUCAUGUAGCGGUGAAAUGCGUAGAUAUCAGGAGGAACACCUGUGGCGAAAGCGGCUCACUGGACCACAACUGACGCUGAUGCACGAAAGCUAGGGGAGCAAACAGG